UACGUAGGGGGCUAGCGUUGUCCGGAUUUAUUGGGCGUAAAGAGCGUGUAGGCGGCCAGAUAGGUCUGCUGUGAAAACUCGAGGCUCAACCUCGAGCUGUCGGCGGAAACCAUUUGGCUAGAGUCCGGAAGAGGAAAGUGGAAUUCCCGGUGUAGCGGUGAAAUGCGCAGAUAUCGGGAAGAACACCCGUGGCUAAGGCGGCUCUCUAGUACGGUACUGACGCUGAGACGCGAAAGCGUGGGGAGCGAACAGG
Molecule: ribosomal RNA, 253 nt
Filed under: uncultured bacterium
Lineage: Bacteria
Description: partial 16S ribosomal RNA
Rfam family: Bacterial small subunit ribosomal RNA
Source: RNAcentral